Molecule: ribosomal RNA, 497 nt
Filed under: uncultured bacterium
Lineage: Bacteria
Description: partial 16S ribosomal RNA
Rfam family: Bacterial small subunit ribosomal RNA
Source: RNAcentral
GAUGAACGCUGGCGGUGGGCCUAACACAUGCAAGUCGAGCGACCAGACAGUGAGCUUUUUCUUUUAACGUUAGCGGCUGGCGGGUGAGUGACACGUGGAUCACCUUCUUCUUUUACUGGGAUAAUUUCGGGAAACAGGUGCUAAUACUGCAUAAUAUAUUGAACCGGAUAGUGCAAUAGUUAAUGACGCCUUUGCUGUCUGAUUUAGACGGAUCCGCGUCGGAUUAGCUAGUUGGUAAGGUAACGGCUUACCAAGGCAACGAUGCGUAGCCGAGCUGAGAGGAUGAUCAGCCACACUGGAACUGAGACACGGUCCAGACUCCUACGGGAGGCAGCAGUGGGGAAUAUUGGGCAAUGGGCGCAAGCCUGACCCAGCAAUACCGCGUGAGUGAAGAAGGUCUUCGGAUCGUAAAGCCCUGUUGUUGGGAAAGAAAAAAAGUGUGAGAAACCCCGGACGUUUUGACGGUACCCAAAGAGAAAGCACCGGCUAACUACGUG